AUACGUAGGGUGCAAGCGUUAAUCGGAAUUACUGGGCGUAAAGCGUGCGCAGGCGGUUUUGUAAGACAGUGGUGAAAUCCCCGGGCUCCACCUGGGAACUGCCAUUGUGACUGCAAGGCUGGAGUGCGGCAGAGGGGGAUGGAAUUCCGCGUGUAGCAGUGAAAUGCGGAGAUAUGCGGAGGAACACCGAUGGCGAAGGCAAUCCCCUGGGCCUGCACUGACGCUCAUGCACGAAAGCGUGGGGAGCAAACAGGAUUAGAUACCCUGGUAGUCCACGCCCUAAACGAUGUCAACUGGUUGUUGGGGAUUUAUUUUCUCAGUAACGAAGCUAACGCGUGAAGUUGACCGCCUGGGGAGUACGGCCGCAAGGUUAAAACUCAAAGGAAUUGACGGGG
This 395-nucleotide ribosomal RNA is filed under the name uncultured bacterium. RNAcentral's name for it is "partial 16S ribosomal RNA". It matches the Rfam family "Bacterial small subunit ribosomal RNA", at positions 523 to 918 of the family's 1533-position model. The record is from RNAcentral.